Molecule: small RNA, 131 nt
Filed under: Salmonella enterica subsp. enterica serovar Heidelberg
Lineage: Bacteria; Pseudomonadati; Pseudomonadota; Gammaproteobacteria; Enterobacterales; Enterobacteriaceae
Also listed under: 25 other names
Description: RtT sRNA
Rfam family: RtT RNA
About the family: This family represents a bacterial cis-regulatory element known as RtT RNA. The exact function of RtT is unknown although it is thought that it may be involved in changing the cellular response in relation to amino acid starvation.
Source: RNAcentral
UAUCUCUCCGUACGGGGAAGGAUGAGAAGCUUCGACUAAGGUUCGAUUCGAGCGCAGCGAGAAAGCGUUGCCGCAGGCAACGACCCGAAGGGUGAGGAGCGGAGCGACGAAUAAUCCUUCCCCCACCAUCA